CCCCUAGUAACUGCGAGUGAAGCGGGAAAAGCUCAAAUUUGAAAUCUGACGGUUACGCCGUCCGAGUUGUAUUCUGGAGAAGCGUCUUCCGCGUCGGACCGUGUACAAGUCCCUUGGAACAGGGCGUCAUAGAGGGUGAGAAUCCCGUCUUUGACACGGACCCCCGGUGCUAUGUGAUGCGCUCUCGAAGAGUCGAGUUGUUUGGGAAUGCAGCUCAAAACGGGUGGUAAAUUCCAUCUAAAGCUAAAUAUUGGCGAGAGACCGAUAGCGAACAAGUACCGUGAGGGAAAGAUGAAAAGCACUUUGGAAAGAGAGUAAAACAGUACGUGAAAUUGUUGAAAGGGAAACGCUUGAAGUCAGUCGCGUCUGCCGGAACUCAGCCUUGCUUCUGCUUGGUGCACUUUCCGGUUUGACGGGCCAGCAUCGGUUUCGAGUGGCGGACACUGGCGCGGGGAAGGUGGCAGCUCCGGCUGUGUUAUAGCCCCGCGUCGCGAACGUCUCACGGGACCGAGGAAUCCGGCGCAAGCCUGGGAUGCUGGCGUAAUGGCUUUAAACGACCCGUCUUGAAACACGGACCAAGGAGUGCUACGUGCUCGCGAGUGUUUGGGUGGAAAACCCGGACGCGAAAUGAAAGUGAAAGUCGACACCCCUUUGCGGGGGGCACCGACGCCCGAGCCUGAAGUUUACGGAAGGCCUUGCGGUAGAGCGAGUGCGUUGCGACCCGAAAGAUGGUGAACUAUUCCUGAGGAGGGCGAAGCCAGAGGAAACUCUGGUGGAGGCUCGUAGCGGUUCUGACGUGCAAAUCGAUCGCAGGACUUGGG
RNAcentral lists this ribosomal RNA (821 nucleotides) under Trechispora sp. RNAcentral's name for it is "partial large subunit ribosomal RNA". It matches the Rfam family "Eukaryotic large subunit ribosomal RNA", at positions 77 to 915 of the family's 3401-position model. The record is from RNAcentral. Lineage: Eukaryota; Fungi; Basidiomycota; Agaricomycetes; Trechisporales; Hydnodontaceae.